Long non-coding RNA from Pristis pectinata (smalltooth sawfish), 884 nucleotides. RefSeq lists it as uncharacterized. The transcript has 3 exons. The record is from RefSeq and is a predicted model, not a curated record. NCBI's taxonomy places the organism in Eukaryota, Metazoa, Chordata, Chondrichthyes, Rhinopristiformes, Pristidae.
CUCGCAGCGAAUGUACCAAGCCCCUGCCACAACUAUUUUUCUGCAGCACCUUCCGGGAGGCAGGCUUAUUACGUAUCUCCUUCAUCUCCUAUUCGUCCCAACGUACGGGGAGGAUCACAUCAAGGGGCUGGAAUUACGAUUUUGAUGCCAUGAGGAAGGCCAGCAUUUUUGUCCAUUCCUAGAUGCCAUUGACCAGAACAGCUUAUUAGAUGACUUCAGAAGACAAUUAACAGUAAAACUCAUUGUAUGUGUCUGGAGUCAAUGUAAACCAAAGUUGGCACCGACAGCAGAUUUUCUCCCCCAGAAUUUCCAACUGCAACCAUGCGGAGCAACUAUGUUACGUGCACCCGCCCAGUCUCCGGCUACCAUCUCAAGAAUUUGGAAUAUAUUUUCGUUUCGGAGUCCCUGAACUCUGACCUGCCCGUGACGGAGGGGAUCUCCCGGGCUUCGAAUUUCCGCCUAACAGCCACCUAUUGGCAAAUUAUUCAAUCUCCCCACACGCCUGCGGUGCGAUGUCCACAGCAGCGGAGAAUGCUUGAAGCUGAUGCCGCUGCGUUUGCAGCGUUUUGUUCUUUGUUUCGGAUUUCCAGCAUCUGUAAGGGCUUUUUUUACUCUGCUCCGAUUUCCAUGGUGGUGGCACCAUUCUCGACUGGUGCUUGAUCCCCAGAAGCUUGGCCGCGGCUCUUUACAUCCCUCUAACUCCGUUAAUAUUGGGGACGAAACGAUUGAAAACCAGUAUUUCAUGAGAAAACAAUUGCUCCGUCAAUUGGACUACCCUGCCUAUUAGGAGCUUGUUGUUAACUUUUAAACCACCGGAAUUAAGCAGGUUAUGUUAAGUGCUGAAACAUUGGCAGUUAACCAUCGGAUUUAACCCUAGUGUUCAG